GUGAGAGAGCUGUGACUGAGAGAGGUCAGACAAGCCUGCUCAAGGCCAGUCAAAGCCUGCAGUCACCUGUGUUUCCAUCCAGAGCUCUUCCAGCUACACCACAGUUCAACUAAGAAGGUCACUCCAAAGAUGUCACCAGUGUUUUCCCCAAACAUCAUUUUCAUCUUGGCACUCCCUUCCUCAAGCAGAGACAGUCUCUAUGCAGCUGAAGAAUUGUGUACUUUCACCACUGGAAUUUGAAUUCAGCUAAUGAGAACUAAGAGUAAAACGAAGAUGCCUUGCAAAGCUCCUUGGUCUCGGCCCUGUACACUGGCCAUAAAAUUAGGCUGCCUCCCUUCCCUUUGGGGCUACAGCCCUGCUCUAUAAAUGCAUUUCAAACCUAUAAAAAUAUUAAACUUCCUUAAAGCAUUCAUCCUAAGCUAAUUAUGAAGCUGAAGCUAUUAAUACAGAGAAAAUUAUAAAAUAAUAUCUUAUAUUUACAUGGUGUUACAUACCUCUGUGUUUGAGAGCACAGUCACAGACAUUAUCUCUUAAUCCUGGAAACUCGUGAGAACCGAACAACUCCGACUUGAGAGAGAGAGCAAGCGGAAGAGAGAAGCGCCCGAUUCUGUCACUGUCUAGCUGUGUGACCCAAAGGAAAUGAUCCAGCCUCUCUGAGCUUCAGUUUCCUCAGCUGCAAAUUGCUUUGGGUGUGCUGCUGCUGCUGCUAAGUUGCUUCAGUCGUGUCCGACUCUGUGCGACCCCAUAGACGGCAGCUCACCAGGCUCCCCCAUCCCUGGGAUUCUCCAGGAAGAAGCUCAAUAUGAUAAAACUAAGAAGCAGAGCUAUGGGAUGAGGAACAUCACAACCCAAGCCUCAGGUCAAAAAUGUGAGCAAACCCCUAGCCCCACCUGGCACCACUGCUGACCGGACUGGCAGUAAGAAGUUAUUUGGAGGAAAGAUGUUUCCGUGAUCAAUAAUCUUUGAACAUUCUAUUCAGAAAU
Molecule: long non-coding RNA, 983 nt
Organism: Bos taurus (domestic cattle)
Lineage: Eukaryota; Metazoa; Chordata; Mammalia; Artiodactyla; Bovidae
Source: Ensembl